Molecule: ribosomal RNA, 388 nt
Filed under: uncultured bacterium
Lineage: Bacteria
Description: bacterial SSU rRNA
Rfam family: Bacterial small subunit ribosomal RNA
Source: RNAcentral
GACGAACGCUGGCGGCGUGCUUAACACAUGCAAGUCGAGCGGUAAGGCCCUUUCGGGGGUACACGAGCGGCGAACGGGUGAGUAACACGUGGGUGACCUGCCCUUAGCUCUGGGAUAAGCCUGGGAAACUGGGUCUAAUACCGGAUAUGACUCCAUGACGCAUGUUGUGGGGUGGAAAGCCUUGUGCGGCUAGGGAUGGGCCCGCGGCCUAUCAGCUUGUUGGUGGGGUGAUGGCCACCAAGGCGACGACGGGUAGCCGGCCUGAGAGGGCGACCGGCCACACUGGGGACUGAGACACGGCCCAGACUCCUACGGGAGGCAGCAGUGGGGAAUCUUGCGCAAUGGGCGAAAGCCUGACGCAGCGACGCCGCGUGGGGAUGACGGCCUC